Molecule: ribosomal RNA, 531 nt
Filed under: uncultured bacterium
Lineage: Bacteria
Description: partial 16S ribosomal RNA
Rfam family: Bacterial small subunit ribosomal RNA
Source: RNAcentral
UGGGGAAUAUUGCACAAUGGGCGAAAGCCUGAUGCAGCAACGCCGCGUGAGUGAUGAAGGCCUUCGGGUUGUAAAGCUCUGUCUUUUGGGACGAUAAUGACGGUACCAAAGGAGGAAGCCACGGCUAACUACGUGCCAGCAGCCGCGGUAAUACGUAGGUGGCAAGCGUUGUCCGGAUUUACUGGGCGUAAAGGAUGCGUAGGCGGAUUUUUAAGUGAGAUGUGAAAUACCCGGGCUUAACUUGGGUGCUGCAUUUCAAACUGGGAAUCUAGAGUGCGGGAGAGGAGAAUGGAAUUCCUAGUGUAGCGGUGAAAUGCGUAGAGAUUAGGAAGAACACCAGUGGCGAAGGCGAUUCUCUGGACCGUAACUGACGCUGAGGCAUGAAAGCGUGGGUAGCAAACAGGAUUAGAUACCCUGGUAGUCCACGCCGUAAACGAUGAGUACUAGGUGUAGGAGGUAUCGACCCCUUCUGUGCCGCAGUUAACACAAUCAAGUACUCCGCCUGGGAAGUACGAUCGCAAGAUUAAAACU